AUCACACACUGGUUUCUCAUCUAGCCACAGAGCAUGCCUAUGAGUCUUGGUAACAGCUCCCGGGAGAUCACUGGCUUAAGCCAGUUCUUGUUAGGCUGUUGACAACUAGGUCCUGAUGAGGGAAGCACUAAUGGGCCCCUGGCUCGCUCUCUGCCCGCCCCCUGACUGAUCAGGCUUUGGGUUCCAGUGGGCUUGAUGGCUCCAUGACAGAGCUUUUCUUGCCUGCGAUAGGGGUUAGGCCUGCAAGAGAGUUUUCUUUACAGCCAGUGAACUUUUCACUUCUCCCCAUUGUGCUCUGGAUUUGGAAGACGCUUAAGACAGACGCUGAAAUGUUAAAGGUGGGAGUAUCUCCAGCCUGGUUCAAAUGCCUCUUCUUCAGGCGUCCCUGGUGGUCCAGCGGUUUAAGUAUUCACCUUGCAAUGUAAGGGACACCAGUUCAAUUCCUGAUCUGGGAGGAUCCCACAGGCCAUGGAGCAUCUAAUCCCCUGCGCUGCAACUACUGAAGGCUGAGCUCCUAGAGCCUGUGCUCCGCAAUGAGAAGCCACCGCAGUGAGAAACCACACGUGACAAGGGAGGAGCCACCACUCGCUGCAACCAGAGGAAGCCCACGUGCAGCAACAAAGUCCCAACCCAACCAAAAAA
Long non-coding RNA from Bos taurus (domestic cattle), 642 nucleotides. The record is from Ensembl. NCBI's taxonomy places the organism in Eukaryota, Metazoa, Chordata, Mammalia, Artiodactyla, Bovidae.